GUCUUCGUGCUGUAACAGUCAGCACACUCGACGUGUAUUCGAGAGGUCCGAGGUUCGAGUCCCGGCGAGGGCA
This is a non-coding RNA of Stegodyphus mimosarum, 73 nucleotides long. NCBI's taxonomy places the organism in Eukaryota, Metazoa, Arthropoda, Arachnida, Araneae, Eresidae. The record is from Rfam.